UACGGAGGGUGCAAGCGUUAUCCGGAUUCACUGGGUUUAAAGGGUGCGUAGGUGGGCAGGUAAGUCAGUGGUGAAAUCCCCGAGCUUAACUUGGGAACUGCCGUUGAUACUAUCUGUCUUGAAUAUCGUGGAGGUUAGCGGAAUAUGUCAUGUAGCGGUGAAAUGCAUAGAGAUGACAUAGAACACCAAUUGCGAAGGCAGCUGACUACGCGAGUAUUGACACUGAGGCACGAAAGCGUGGGGAUCAAACAGG
RNAcentral lists this ribosomal RNA (253 nucleotides) under uncultured bacterium. Its description in RNAcentral is "partial 16S ribosomal RNA". It matches the Rfam family "Bacterial small subunit ribosomal RNA", at positions 524 to 776 of the family's 1533-position model. The record is from RNAcentral.